RNAcentral lists this ribosomal RNA (433 nucleotides) under uncultured bacterium. RNAcentral's name for it is "partial 16S ribosomal RNA". It matches the Rfam family "Bacterial small subunit ribosomal RNA", at positions 29 to 507 of the family's 1533-position model. The record is from RNAcentral.
AACGAACGCUGGCGGCAUGCCUAACACAUGCAAGUCGAACGAGACCUUCGGGUCUAGUGGCGCACGGGUGCGUAACGCGUGGGAACCUGCCCUUAGGUUCGGAAUAACUCCCCGAAAGGGGUGCUAAUACCGGAUCAUGUCUUCCGACCAAAGAUUUAUCGCCUUUGGAUGGGCCCGCGUUGGAUUAGCUAGUUGGUAGGGUAAAAGCCUACCAAGGCGACGAUCCAUAGCUGGUCUGAGAGGAUGAUCAGCCACACUGGGACUGAGACACGGCCCAGACUCCUACGGGAGGCAGCAGUGGGGAAUAUUGGACAAUGGGCGAAGGCCUGAUCCAGCAAUGCCGCGUGAGUGAUGAAGGCCUUAGGGUUGUAAAGCUCUUUUACCCGGGAUGAUAAUGACAGUACCGGGAGAAUAAGCUCCGGCUAACUCCGUG